This is a long non-coding RNA of Callithrix jacchus (white-tufted-ear marmoset), 1192 nucleotides long. The record is from Ensembl. Lineage: Eukaryota; Metazoa; Chordata; Mammalia; Primates; Cebidae.
AUGUGCACUGUACUAAAACAUUUACCAUUAUUUCUUACAGUCUUCACACAGCUUUGUAAAGUUGGCAUCAGUAUCCAUUCUACAGCCAGAGUAGCUGAUGGCCUUCAGAAAGGAGCAUGCAUAAUUCAUGGAUUUAGAGAGACCUGCCACACCUUUCAGCUGUGCUAUUCGGCUGUAAUUCAUCUUUGGAGCAAAGGGAUUCCGAAUGAAAAGGUCAAACCACUCGGAAGCUGUAUUGGCAUCUAACAGAGCAAUUCUGUGUCCUGGGAUAUCUACCAAACCCUCCAGCUCAGGCCUGUUUCCAAAAGAAGCCUACUUGUAACACCUUUUAGCAGGGGUUAAAAAAACAAUAAGACUGCUGGAAGGAACUGGAGGAAGACUAUUUUGUAUCUUAAAGGACCUAGGGUCCUAGAUGAGAAUCAACAAAGGCAAAAUCUGAGAAGCCAGAGUAGUCUGGUGGAAAGAAUAACAGCUGGGAAAUCCCUGGACUAGGCACUCCUGCCAGCUCUGCUGAGAGCCUGUCACUGUCACAUCACCCCUGGAGCCUUCUGUCCUCUCCCACAAAGGGAAGGAGGUGGAAGAUAAGAUCUGCAACGUUCCUCUCACCUCUCACCUUCUAUCAGGCUCAUUUAGGAGCUUGAGUAACAUUUAGGGACAACUUGGCUGUGAACAAAAGGUUUCCAAAUACGACCUCAAAACCAUAAAUCUAGUAGACAAACCUGGAGGAAAAGAAAAUGCACCAUUCGGAGCUGCAGGCGGUGCUAUAACAUCCCUCAGAGACUCAUUCUGACAAGUCACAAAGACUUGUGUGAAAAAGAAAUUCCUUUGAUAACUGCUUGCCUGGAGUUGACUGACACCUUUCAAAGGAAAUGAGGUAAGAGGACAAAGAGGGCAUGGGCUCAGCAGUCGGGAAAUUGGGAUAGAAACACCACGAGAGAUUAAAUCACAUCUAGAGAAGUAUAAUCACUGAUAUUUAAGAUGAAGAGAUUGGCAAACAGGAACAUUUUGUAAUCUCAGAAGUAAAAUGUUUGUAAGUCAGUAAGUUGGGUCAGAAAUGAAAGUUGGAAUCUUAAUUAUUUUGUUAUUUUCCUUUGGUUUCAGGGUCCUCUGGUUUAUAUUUUACCUUUAGUUAAAACAAUAGUAAUUCAACAAAUUAUUAUUAAAUACCCACUUGUGUCAGGCUUCUUUGGUG